Molecule: ribosomal RNA, 864 nt
Filed under: uncultured bacterium
Lineage: Bacteria
Description: bacterial SSU rRNA
Rfam family: Bacterial small subunit ribosomal RNA
Source: RNAcentral
AAGUCGCACGAGAGUGGAGCAAUCCAUGAAAGUGGCGCACGGGUGCGUAACACGUAGAUAACCUGCCCUAAGGAGGGGGAUAACGUUCCGAAAGGAGCGCUAAUACCGCAUAACACAGCGUCCGGUUCGCCGGAUGCGGGCAAAGGCUGGGACCGGCAACGGCCAGUCGCCAUAGGAGGGGUCUGCGGCCCAUCAGCUAGUUGGUAAGGUAAUGGCUUACCAAGGCAGAGACGGGUAGCUGGUCUGAGAGGAUGAUCAGCCACACUGGUACUGGAACACGGACCAGACUCCUACGGGAGGCAGCAGUGGGGAAUCUUGGUCAAUGGGCGCAAGCCUGAACCAGCGACGCCGCGUGAGUGAUGAAGGCCUUCGGGUUGUAAAGCUCUGUGGGGAGGGACGAAAGAGCUCAGUCGAAUAGGCUGAGUGUUGACGGUACCUCCUUAGCAAGCACCGGCUAACUCUGUGCCAGCAGCCGCGGUAAGACAGAGGGUGCAAACGUUGCUCGGAAUCACUGGGCGUAAAGGGCGUGUAGGCGGGAAAGUAAGUCGGGCGUGAAAUCCCCAGGCUCAACCUGGGAACUGCACUCGAAACUACUUUCCUUGAGUGUCGGAGAGGAAAGCGGAAUACCUGGUGUAGAGGUGAAAUUCGUAGAUAUCAGGUGGAACACCAGUGGCGAAGGCGGCUUUCUGGACGAUAACUGACGCUGAGACGCGAAAGCGUGGGGAGCAAACAGGAUUAGAUACCCUGGUAGUCCACGCUGUAAACGAUGAGUGCUAGGUGUCGUGGGUAUUGACCCCCGCGGUGCCGUAGCUAACGCAUUAAGCACUCCGCCUGGGAAGUACGGUCGCAAGACUAAAACUCAAA